GCAUUUUUAGCUUAAUGGUAAAGUAGUAAUUUUCGAAAUUAUAGAUCUUGGUUCAAUUCCAAGAAAAUGUU
RNAcentral lists this transfer RNA (71 nucleotides) under Schizosaccharomyces japonicus. RNAcentral describes it as "tRNA-Arg". It matches the Rfam family "tRNA". From Rfam's summary of the family: Transfer RNA (tRNA) molecules are approximately 80 nucleotides in length. Their secondary structure includes four short double-helical elements and three loops (D, anti-codon, and T loops). Lineage: Eukaryota; Fungi; Ascomycota; Schizosaccharomycetes; Schizosaccharomycetales; Schizosaccharomycetaceae. The record is from RNAcentral.